GGAGCAGAAAGAGAGUUGUUCACCAGCCCAAACCCAGGACUCAGCAGCAUGCAGGUCCAGCCUCCAUGUGGAGGUGGGCCCCCCAUCAUCGUCCCCCUCCAGCCCCACCCUGGAGGAGCGGAGGCGGCCGGGCACGCUGUUCAUCUGGCAGGAGAGAGAGCGGCUGCAGCAGCAGCAGAGAGACAAGGCCAGUUUGCUGAAGUCCUCCGCCAAAGCAGGAAGUCAUGUGGCCUCUACACCUCAGACAGGAAGUAGUUCAGCGUAAGUACGGCCCGUUGGGCAGAUAAAAGCCCAGCAGCAGAGAGACUGAUGAGUGCCGUUCGUCCGUGCAUUUGCUCCGUCUCUGCUGGAUUAGACAUGGAGCUGAAGGUUGUGGAGAGUGUUGGUUUCCUGUAGUGAUCAAAUGUUGGUGUCUGUUUCCCCCUAGUGGAACUUCUCCAGAGAACAGCAGCUCCCAGCUGGCCCUGCGGCAGCGAUGUGCUGUGAGUAAACUCAGCUGACAGGUGUAGGUGUGUUUGCAUUGUGAAAAUCUGAAUGUGUUCCUUUUUUAUUAGAGUGCUGAACAGAUGAGCGCAGUGUUUCCUUCAACUCUGGUGCAACGCUCCAGCAGCAGAACAGGUAUACGCACACACACAAACACACACACACACACACACACACACACACACACACACACACACACACACACAUACAUACACACACACACACACACACACACACACCACACACACAGACACACACAGCCUUUCAUUAUAUAAUAAAGGAGCUACUGUAUUAUCUACUACAUAUUAUUAAUUU
This 798-nucleotide long non-coding RNA is filed under the name Sander lucioperca (pikeperch). RNAcentral's name for it is "lncRNA (ENSSLUG00000005376.1)". Lineage: Eukaryota; Metazoa; Chordata; Actinopteri; Perciformes; Percidae. The record is from RNAcentral.